RNAcentral lists this ribosomal RNA (2507 nucleotides) under Fidelibacterota bacterium. Its description in RNAcentral is "partial 23S ribosomal RNA". It matches the Rfam family "Bacterial large subunit ribosomal RNA". The record is from RNAcentral. Lineage: Bacteria; Pseudomonadati; Fidelibacterota.
GUGUGAUCAAGUGUCUGAAGGGCAUUUGGUGGAUGCCUUGGCAUUGAGAGGCGAUGAAGGACGUGACAGGCUGCGUUAAGCCUUGGGGAGCUGCCAGUAAGCUUUGAUCCGAGGAUUUCCGAAUGGGGCAACCCACCGCUUCGGCGGUAUCGUACGAUGAAUACAUAGUCGUACGAGGCGAACCCAGCGAACUGAAACAUCUCAGUAGCUGGAGGAAAGGACAUCAACCGAGACUCCGUUAGUAGUGACGAGCGAACGCGGACCAGGCCAGUGGCUUGAUAGAAACAACCAGAAGCGUCUGGAAAGGCGCGCCAUAGUGGGUGAUAGCCCCGUAUGGGUAAUGCUUUCUUCAAGUCCUUGAGUAGGGCGGGACACGUGAAAUCCUGUCUGAACAUGGGGGGACCACCCUCCAAGCCUAAGUACUCCUCAAUGACCGAUAGUGAACAAGUACCGUGAGGGAAAGGUGAAAAGCACCCCGAUGAGGGGAGUGAAAUAGACCUGAAACCGAAUGCCUACAAGCAGUCGGAGCCACAUUAAGUGGUGACGGCGUACCUUUUGUAUAAUGGGUCAGCGAGUUAAUUUGACGAGCAAGCCUAAGCCGUUAGGCGUAAGCGAAGCGAAAGCGAGUCUGAAUAGGGCGUUUAGUUCGUUUGAGUAGACCCGAAACCGGGUGAUCUAGCCAUGGGCAGGUUGAAGGUGCGGUAACACGCACUGAAGGACCGAACCCACGCAUGUUGAAAAAUGCGGGGAUGACCUGUGGCUAGGGGUGAAAGGCCAAUCAAACCCGGAGAUAGCUGGUUCUCUGCGAAAACUAUUUAGGUAGUGCGUCGUGUAUUACCGUCGGGGGUAGAGCACUGGAUGGGCUAGGGGGGCGCGAGCCUUACCAAACCUAACCAAACUCCGAAUACCGGCGAGUACAGCACGGCAGACAGACUAUGGGUGCUAAGGUCCAUAGUCGAGAGGGAAACAGCCCAGACCUCCAGCUAAGGUCCCUAAAUUGUGGCUAAGUGGGAAAGGAUGUGGGAAGGCCAAGACAGCCAGGAGGUUGGCUUAGAAGCAGCCAUCCUUGAAAGAAAGCGUAACAGCUCACUGGUCUAGACAAGCCGGCCUGCGCCGAAGAUGUACCGGGGCUAAAGCCACAUACCGAAGCUGCGGAUUCAAGUCUUUGACUUGAGUGGUAGCGGAGCGUUCCGUAGGCCUGUGAAGCGGUUCUGUAAGGAGCCGUGGAGGUAUCGGAAGUGAGAAUGCUGGCAUGAGUAGCGAUAAAGAGUGUGAGAAACACUCUCGCCGAAAGUCCAAGGGUUCCUCGGCAAGGUUAAUCCUCCGAGGGUGAGCCGGCUCCUAAGGCGAGGCCGAAAGGCGUAGUCGAUGGGAAUGAGGUUAAUAUUCCUCAGCCUGCUGGAAGUGACGGAUACCGGAAGCUGUAUGCUCUUAUUGGAUUGAGCGUGCGGCCUGGGUGUCCCAGGAAAUAGCUCCAGCGUAAGACCGUACCCCAAACCGACACAGGUGGACAGGCAGAGUAUGCCAAGGCGCUUGAGAGAACGGCGUUGAAGGAACUCGGCAAAUUGCCCCCGUAACUUCGGGAGAAGGGGGCCCCGUUCGUAGGCAACUAUGGGCGGGGGGCACAGACUAGGGGGUGGCGACUGUUUACUAAAAACACAGGGCUCUGCGAAGUCUUUAAGACGACGUAUAGGGUCUGACGCCUGCCCGGUGCCUGAAGGUUAAAAGGAGAUGUGAGAGCGUCGAAUUGAAGCCCAGGUAAACGGCGGCCGUAACUAUAACGGUCCUAAGGUAGCGAAAUUCCUUGUCGGGUAAGUUCCGACCUGCACGAAUGGCGUAACGACUUCCCCACUGUCUCCAACAUCGACUCAGCGAAAUUGAAUUCCCCGUGAAGAUGCGGGGUUCCCGCGGUUAGACGGAAAGACCCCGUGCACCUUUACUACAACUUUACACUGAUAACAGGCACAACAUGUGCAGAAUAGGUGGUAGGCUUUGAAGCAGAAACGCCAGUUUUUGUGGAGCCUCCUUUGAGAUACCACCCUUGUUUUGCUUGUUAUCUAACUGCGGUCCGUUAUCCGGAUCCAGGACCCUGUAUGGUGGGUAGUUUGACUGGGGCGGUCGCCUCCUAAAGCGUAACGGAGGCGCGCGAAGGUUGGCUCAGAGCGGUCGGAAAUCGCUCGUUGAGUGCAAUGGCAGAAGCCAGCCUGACUGCGAGACUGACAAGUCGAGCAGAGUCGAAAGACGGCCAUAGUGAUCCGGUGGUCCCGAGUGGAAGGGCCAUCGCUCAACGGAUAAAAGGUACGCCGGGGAUAACAGGCUGAUGGUGCCCAAGAGUCCAUAUCGACGGCACCGUUUGGCACCUCGAUGUCGGCUCAUCUCAUCCUGGGGCUGGAGCAGGUCCCAAGGGUACGGCUGUUCGCCGUUUAAAGAGGUACGUGAGCUGGGUUUAGAACGUCGUGAGACAGUUCGGUCCCUAUCUGCCGUGGGUGUAGGAUACUUGAGAGGAG